This 814-nucleotide long non-coding RNA is filed under the name Helianthus annuus (common sunflower). RNAcentral describes it as "hypothetical non coding rna". Lineage: Eukaryota; Viridiplantae; Streptophyta; Magnoliopsida; Asterales; Asteraceae. The record is from RNAcentral.
ACCACUCACUCACCCAAACACAUCACAUGGCCGCAUGGGCGUAGUUUAGCACCACCCCACCACGCACAAUCAUCCUUCUAACUCCCACAUUCAAGCUCACUCAUCAUCCGUACCGGUAACGGAUGCUGCCGGUGGCGGCGAACCGCUGGUUGCGUCCACCUUGUUGUUCAUGUUUUGUUCUUCAUAAACUCUUCUUAAUCUCUCUAUCUCUUUCUUCAAUUGUUCUUGGUGAGCUACAAUUUUAAAUAAAUUGAUUCAUUUUUAUGAGUUAAGUUCACGUACAAAGUGUCUUAUUGUAUAAAAUGUACGAAAGGUAUGAAAAAGUCAAAAAAACGCAGUGACAUUUUUCGUAAUUAUUUACUCGUAGAGUAAUUAUCAAAAUUACUCUACAAACGAUCUUGUAUGGUAAUUUUGAUCUUGUAGAGUAAUUUUGUAAAAUAUUCUUAUCGGGUAAUUUUGUAGAGUAUCAUAAUUACUCUACAAUUGAUCUUGUAUGGUAAUUUUGAUAUUGUAAGGUAAUUUUGUAGAGUAUCAUGAUUACUCUACAAAUGAUUUUGUAGAGUAACUUUGAAUUGUAUGUUGUUUGAUAAGCUUGCAGAGUAAUUAGAUACACUUGUAGAGUAAUUUUGAUGCAGAGUAAUUUUGAUAAUUACUCUACGAGUAAAUAAUUACGAAAAUCCCACCGCGUUUUUUUACAUUUUCACCCUAUUCUACGUUUUGUAUGAUAAGGUUUUUCAUAGCAUGGGUUUACGGAUUUAUUUUUGGUUGCACGAAUCUUCUAGGAUGUACCCUACCUGAGCACACUCUCAUCUAG